Molecule: long non-coding RNA, 2355 nt
Organism: Lontra canadensis (Northern American river otter)
Lineage: Eukaryota; Metazoa; Chordata; Mammalia; Carnivora; Mustelidae
Exons: 3
Source: RefSeq, a predicted model, not a curated record
CCCCUGGCUGGGUUGGCUCUUUGUCACCAGGAACGUCCUAAGCUACCUUCCACUAGCCCUAGAGGAGUUUUCUAUGCAAAGCUUCACAAGCACAAUAAGAUAUUUACUGUCUUUAUCGGAGAGAUCAAACCCGCACACAGAUGUCACAUUUCUCAAAUUCCAUCAGUAGAUCAGACAAGCCGUCUCUGGAAAGAGGACAUUCCAGCCGGCAAGUUCAGAGCGCGCUGGCUUCCAGGGCCGUUCCCUUCCUAUUUUCUGUCGUGCACCCUGAGCCUUUGUUGUCUCUGCAAUGCUGAUAAAUCAAUCCAUCAAAAAAUUUCCUCAGUGAAACUCAAUCAAGAAAGGUCAUGUCAGCGGGAGAGGAACAGAUUAAAUUAGCAUCAAAUUAGACAUGGAAAGUGAGUUCUGUCAAAAUCAUCGCAGCGCUCAGCACAAUUAGAAUAUGUUAAUUAUGCAUUUCAUUAAGGUGGAUGUGAGAUGAAAUGUCACUGGGGUAGGCAUCCGAAAAAGGGAAGAUUGCCAGGCACAACUUUCUCUAGACAAUGUGUGACACCUUCAUUAACAUCAAGAAUCACAAGUCUGCCUUGACUUUUUCUGUAAAGGAUUAAACCAUUAACUGUUUGCUGGCUCCUCUCAUUUGUGCGGGGGUCCCUGUCCUCCAAGGGGGCCGGCCCCUCCUGAGUGACUGUCUUGCUCUGCCACCGCCAUGGCCCCAGGGGCUGCUGGGAGUGCCCGGUGGGCACUGGAGAGGGUGGCGGGUUUUAAUGAACUCCCUGCAAGCUUCUGGGGAUCACGCCACUGUCUUAGGGGUGGCAGGGUGCUGAGAAAUGAGGGGUGAGGAUUACAGAGGGAGGGGAGGAGGGGCAGGGGGAGGCUCUUGGCUUCAUUCUUGGGGAUGAAAGAUAUAAUCAACGUCAUGGGGGGCGGGCAGGGGGAUCAGAUUUACAAACUUACACCCGGCAAACUCUAAUUUGGUGAAUUAUUUCGCAGAUCACUCUCUGAGUCACGGCAACCAGGAGGCAUUCUCCCGGAGUGAAGUAGUUCCUCGUGAGGCAGCUUCAUAAAAUCCUCGUUAGAUGCUUCCAGUGGACAGUAACUGUAACACAACACACUCAGACUUUCCUACUUCUUCCCAGAAACGAAUUAUCCAUCUACCCACUACUUGGUCUGCAGGACAGAGGACAGAGAUCAGAGGGUAGGAGGCACCGUUGUUGUACCAUGGGGGCUCGAGAAGGAGUAGUUACCACAACCUGGGAGAGGAAGUCAGAGAGGACUUCCUGGAAGAGAGAGAAUGUAAGUGGAGACCUACAGGCUACAUGGGGAUCCUUCCCAGAAGCCCACCAGCACAAUUUCCCUCAUGCCUUUCCCACUGUGUUUUUUCCCUCUGCACAUACACUUCUGCCGGGGUCUGUGGGGAGGAUGGUGAUGUGUGGCCCAUAGCCUUUGGUGGGAUAAUGCUUUUGAAAAAUCUCCUCGGCUCUUCCCAGCAUUCCUGUAUUGGCUGCUUUUCCCUCAACCAGGCAUCAGCUACUCACGAUCACACCAAAACUACAACGGAAGGAAUUUGAGUUUAACAAAGGUGGGUUUCACCAACCCAUGCUUCCUGAGGCAGUUCGGGAACAAGACAAGAUGUGAUUACAGAGCAAGUCUCCCUACUGGACAUGACAGGAUAAGCUUGUCGACGGGGGGCAGAGGAGACCUGGGGGAAACUAGGCAGUCAAAUGCGGCCAGGUGUCCCUGGGAGAAAGUCUGACAAUUUCAAGGGGACUCAGGAGUAGUGACAACCUGCACCUUUUCCCCAGCAGCACCUAGGAAUGCUGUGAGUCCCUCGAGAUGGCCUGGGCUCCAAUGCCCUGGGGAAAGGGCUGGAAAGCCAGCCAAAUGGCUGAGAGGAGUGGGUGAUCAGGCAUCUGGGCCUAGGGGGUGGGGUCCCUCAGGACCGGGGUCCCCCCAGGCCCAUGGUCAUGGGUAGUUGACCUGGGCAGUCACACACGGCUCUGCGUGUCUGGAUGAAUACCGUCUAGAAAGUCCUAGCACUUUCUGAACCAAGGGCCCCACAUUUUCGUCUUGCAAUAGGCCACGCAUGGUGUAGCUGGUUGUGGCUGCCUGACAGGGUGCCCGUGUGCCCCAGGGGGAGACUGUCACAGCCACCACAAGUCUGAGGGGGGUGGGUAAAUGCGAGGAGACCUUAUAGAGUUCACAGUGACCAGAAGACCUGUGAGAGCUUGAGGCCACCACAUGCCAGCUCCCUGAAGGACCCCUCUUCCCCCGCCUGCUCCUACCCACCCCCUGUUUCAGCUGUGUCCCUCAGGAACGGGGAGGAGUCCUGAACUGACCAGGAAUAAGUCUUUGCCC